This 775-nucleotide ribosomal RNA is filed under the name uncultured Neocallimastigales. RNAcentral's name for it is "partial large subunit ribosomal RNA". It matches the Rfam family "Eukaryotic large subunit ribosomal RNA", at positions 22 to 628 of the family's 3401-position model. The record is from RNAcentral. Lineage: Eukaryota; Fungi; Neocallimastigomycota; Neocallimastigomycetes; Neocallimastigales.
UGUACACGCUGUGACUAGCAUAUCAAUAAGCGGAGGAAAAGAAACUAACAAGGAUUCCCCUAGUAACGGCGAGUGAAGCGGGAAGAGCUCAAAUUUGAAAUCUUAAAGGGUUUCCCUUUACGAAUUGUAGUUUAAAGAAGUGUUUUCUGUUGAGGUUUUGGUAAAAGUUCUUUGGAAUAGGACAUCAUAGAGGGUGAGAAUCCCGUAUUUGACCUUUACUUUCAACUUUGUGAUACACUUUCAAAGAGUCGGAUUGUUUGGGAAUGCAGUCCAAAAUGGGUGGUAAAUUUCAUCUAAAGCUGAAUAUUGGCGAGAGACCGAUAGCGAACAAGUACCGUGAGGGAAAGAUGAAAAGAACUUUGAAAAGAGAGUUAAACAGUACGUGAAAUUGUCAAAAGGGAAGCGUUUGACACCAGUGUUGUUUUUCUGAAAAUCAAUUAAAGAACUGUUUAUGCUAAGUUGUUUAGACUUUAUCAGCUAUCUGUUUAGUUUUGAGCUUUUCUUUAAUGCACUUUUCAGUUAACAAGUCAACAUCAAUUUCUUUUGCUGUAAAAAAGCUUGAGGAAGGUGGCUUGAGAUUCGUCUUAAGUGUUUAUAGCCUCUUGCCUAUGCAGUCGGAGAGAUUGAGGUCUGCAGCGUAGAUCCUUCGGGGCUAAAUGCAUUUGUGCUAAGUUAUAGCAUUUUAUAGACAACUUGUUGACUAUGAUUUGUCUUGUAGCUUACUCGCUUAUGUUAUUUUACCUACGCUUAGGAUGUUGAGUCGUAGAGCACGCAG